This 463-nucleotide ribosomal RNA is filed under the name uncultured bacterium. RNAcentral's name for it is "partial 16S ribosomal RNA". It matches the Rfam family "Bacterial small subunit ribosomal RNA", at positions 28 to 507 of the family's 1533-position model. The record is from RNAcentral.
GAUGAACGCUGACAGAAUGCUUAACACAUGCAAGUCUUUGGUGAAGCUGUGCUUGCACAGCCUAGCCAAGGCGGACGGGUGAGUAACGCGUAAGGAACUUGCCCUGCAGUCAGGGAUAACAGACGGAAACGACUGAUAAGACCUGGUAAAGUCAGGCGGACUCAUGUCCAGCCUGAUGAAAAGAGAUGCUGCAGGAGAGCCUUGCGUCCUAUUAGCUUGUUGGUGGGGUAACGGCCCACCAAGGCAAUGAUAGGUAGCCGGCCUGAGAGGGUGGACGGCCACAAGGGGACUGAGAUACGGCCCUUACUCCUACGGGAGGCAGCAGUGGGGAAUAUUGGACAAUGGGGGCAACCCUGAUCCAGCAAUUCUGUGUGCACGAUGAAGGUUUUCGGAGUGUAAAGUGCUUUCAGCAGGGAAGAAAAAAAUGACGGUACCUGCAGAAGAAGCGACGGCUAAAUACGUG